Molecule: small nuclear RNA, 107 nt
Organism: Molossus molossus (Pallas's mastiff bat)
Lineage: Eukaryota; Metazoa; Chordata; Mammalia; Chiroptera; Molossidae
Source: RefSeq, a predicted model, not a curated record
GUGCUUGCUUCAGUAGCACACAGACUAAAAUUGGAAUAAUACAGAGAAGAUUAGCCUGGCCCCUGUGGAAGGAUGACACACAAAUUCGUGAAGCGUUCCAUAUAUUU